UACGGAAGGCAGCAGUGGGGAAUAUUGCACAAUGGGCGCAAGCCUGAUGCAGCCAUGCCGCGUGUAUGAAGAAGGCCUUCGGGUUGUAAAGUACUUUCAGUCGUGAGGAAGGUGUUAAGGUUAAUAACCUUAGCAAUUGACGUUAGCGACAGAAGAAGCACCGGCUAACUCCGUGCCAGCAGCCGCGGUAAUACGGAGGGUGCGAGCGUUAAUCGGAAUUACUGGGCGUAAAGGGCACGCAGGCGGUUAAUUAAGUUGGAUGUGAAAUCCCCGGGCUUAACCUGGGAAUGGCAUUCAAGACUGGUUAGCUAGAGUCUUGUAGAGGGGGUAGAAUUCCAUGUGUAGCGGUGAAACUGCGUAGAGAUGUGGAGGAAUACCGGUGGCGAAGGCGGCCCCUGGACAAAGACUGACGCUCAUGUGCCGAAAGCGUGGGGAGCAAA
RNAcentral lists this ribosomal RNA (440 nucleotides) under uncultured bacterium. RNAcentral describes it as "bacterial SSU rRNA". It matches the Rfam family "Bacterial small subunit ribosomal RNA", at positions 340 to 772 of the family's 1533-position model. The record is from RNAcentral.